This 293-nucleotide ribosomal RNA is filed under the name uncultured bacterium. RNAcentral describes it as "partial 16S ribosomal RNA". It matches the Rfam family "Bacterial small subunit ribosomal RNA", at positions 505 to 796 of the family's 1533-position model. The record is from RNAcentral.
GUGCCAGCAGCCGCGGUAAUACGAAGGGGGCAAGCGUUAUUCGGAUUUAUUGGGCGUAAAGGGCGUGUAGGCGGCUCGGCAAGUCUGGUGUGAAAACGCUACCGCUCAACGGAGCGAAUGCGCUGGAAACUGCCGAACUUGAGUGUGAGAGAGGCGGGCAGAAUACCUGGUGUAGCGGUGGAAUGCUUAGAGAUCAGGUAGAAUACCCGAGGCGAAGGCGGCCCGCUGGCUCACUACUGACGCUAAGGCGCGAAAGCGUGGGGAUCAAACGGGAUUAGAUACCCCGGUAGUCC